CGGCGAGUGAGCGGCUAGCUCAAUUUGAAUCUGGUACCUUCGGUGCCCGAGUUGUAAUUUGGAGAGGGCAACUUUGGGGCCGUUCCUUGUCUAUGUUCCUUGGAACAGGACGUCAUAGAGGGUGAGAAUCCCGUGUGGCGAGGAGUGCGGUUCUUUGUAAAGUGCCUUCGAAGAGUCGAGUUGUUUGGGAAUGCAGCUCUAAGUGGGUGGUAAAUUCCAUCUAAAGCUAAAUAUUGGCGAGAGACCGAUAGCGAACAAGUACAGUGAUGGAAAGAUGAAAAGAACUUUGAAAAGAGAGUGAAAAAGUACGUGAAAUUGUUGAAAGGGAAGGGCAUUUGAUCAGACAUGGUGUUUUGUGCCCUCUGCUCCUUGUGGGUAGGGGAAUCUCGCAUUUCACUGGGCCAGCAUCAGUUUUGGUGGCAGGAUAAAUCCAUAGGAAUGUAGCUUGCCUCGGUAAGUAUUAUAGCCUGUGGGAAUACUGCCAGCUGGGACUGAGGACUGCGACGUAAGUCAAGGAUGCUGGCAUAAUGGUUAUAUGCCGCCCGUCUUGAACACACGGA
RNAcentral lists this ribosomal RNA (560 nucleotides) under Saccharomyces cerevisiae (brewer's yeast). RNAcentral's name for it is "eukaryotic LSU rRNA". It matches the Rfam family "Eukaryotic large subunit ribosomal RNA", at positions 87 to 665 of the family's 3401-position model. The record is from RNAcentral. Lineage: Eukaryota; Fungi; Ascomycota; Saccharomycetes; Saccharomycetales; Saccharomycetaceae.